AAAGAUUAAGCCAUGCAUGUCUAAGUAUAAGCACUUUAUACUGUGAAACUGCGAAUGGCUCAUUAAAUCAGUUAUCGUUUAUUUGAUAGUACCUUACUACAUGGAUACCUGUGGUAAUUCUAGAGCUAAUACAUGCUGAAAACCCCGACUUCAGGAAGGGGUGUAUUUAUUAGAUAAAAAACCAACGCCCUUCGGGGCUCCUUGGUGAAUCAUAAUAACUUAACGAAUCGCAUGGCCUUGCGCCGGCGAUGGUUCAUUCAAAUUUCUGCCCUAUCAACUUUCGAUGGUAGGAUAGUGGCCUACCAUGGUGG
Molecule: ribosomal RNA, 311 nt
Filed under: uncultured fungus
Lineage: Eukaryota; Fungi
Description: SSU rRNA
Rfam family: Eukaryotic small subunit ribosomal RNA
Source: RNAcentral